This 464-nucleotide ribosomal RNA is filed under the name uncultured bacterium. RNAcentral describes it as "partial 16S ribosomal RNA". It matches the Rfam family "Bacterial small subunit ribosomal RNA", at positions 339 to 795 of the family's 1533-position model. The record is from RNAcentral.
CUACGGGGUGCUGCAGUGGGGAAUAUUGCACAAUGGGCGCAAGCCUGAUGCAGCCAUGCCGCGUGUAUGAAGAAGGCCUUCGGGUUGUAAAGUACUUUCAGUAAGGAGGAAGGCAGUUGCGUUAAUAGCGUAAUUGUUUGACGUUACUUACAGAAGAAGCACCGGCUAACUCCGUGCCAGCAGCCGCGGUAAUACGGAGGGUGCGAGCGUUAAUCGGAAUUACUGGGCGUAAAGCGCAUGCAGGUGGUUUGUUAAGUCAGAUGUGAAAGCCCUGGGCUCAACCCGGGAAUUGCAUUUGAAACUGGCAAGCUAGAGUACUGUAGAGGGGGGUAGAAUUUCAGGUGUAGCGGUGAAAUGCGUAGAGAUCUGAAGGAAUACCGGUGGCGAAGGCGGCCCCCUGGACAGAUACUGACACUCAGAUGCGAAAGCGUGGGGAGCAAACAGGAUUAGAUACCCGAGUAGUC